Small nuclear RNA from Gorilla gorilla gorilla (western lowland gorilla), 107 nucleotides. The record is from Ensembl. NCBI's taxonomy places the organism in Eukaryota, Metazoa, Chordata, Mammalia, Primates, Hominidae.
GCACUCACUUCAGCAGCACAUAUACUAAAAUUGGAGUGAUACAUAGAAGAUUAGCAUGGCCCCUAUGCAAGGAUGACAUGCAAAUUCAUGAAGCAUUCCAUAUUUUU